RNAcentral lists this ribosomal RNA (419 nucleotides) under uncultured bacterium. RNAcentral describes it as "bacterial SSU rRNA". It matches the Rfam family "Bacterial small subunit ribosomal RNA", at positions 359 to 776 of the family's 1533-position model. The record is from RNAcentral.
GAAUAUUGGGCAAUGGACGAGAGUCUGACCCAGCCAUGCCGCGUGCAGGAAGACGGCGUUCUGCGUUGUAAACUGCUUUUAUCUGGGAAGAAAAUGCCCCUGCGGGGGAAAUUGCCGGUCCCAGAUGAGUAAGCACCGGCUAACUCCGUGCCAGCAGCCGCGGUAAUACGGAGGGUGCAAGCGUUGUCCGGAUUUAUUGGGUUUAAAGGGUGCGUAGGCGGCUGUUUAAGUCAGUGGUGAAAGACUCCGGCUCAACCGGAGCAGUGCCAUUGAUACUGGACAGCUUGAGUAUUGGAGGGGUACAUGGAAUUGAUGGUGUAGCGGUGAAAUGCAUAGAUACCAUCAGGAACACCGAUAGCGAAGGCAUUGUACUGGCCAAUAACUGACGCUGAUGCACGAAAGCAUGGGUAGCGAACAGG